CGCGCCUGCGCAGUGGCUGGCUGCGCCCUUGCGCUUCCGUCGCCGCGCCAGCUCGGUGGUGCGGGGAUUCCCAGCGCGGGCUCAGCCCCUGGCCGGCCCCGCCCUUGGCUCCGUGCAGCCGGCUCCGGGCCCCUGCGCCGCUCACGCGCACGCGCACCGUGAUCCUCCAGCGUCUGCGGGAGUCUUCGGCGCCGAGGCUCCGAGCAGGUCUUCCGAAGGGUGUCCCGUGGGGCGUCCGGAUGCCGAGCGGCGAGCAAGGGGUGGCUACGGCCCACUCCGAGCCCGUGGCAAGGCGUUUGCAGGCGAAAAGCCAUCUGCCUCUUAAUUUGUGGAUCUCCUUUCAGAAUUUUUUUUCUAAAGGACUUUGAAAUUAUUGUCGGCUUGUCACCGAAGCGUAAACCUCCUGCCUGGAGAUCGGCCUUCUGAGCUUUACAGGUGUUCUCUGUUUAGUUCUUUCUUCCAUUCUAGGUGGGCCCAGCAGGUCUUACUUUCCCAGUUUAGCCGAUUUGGAAACCUCGGCCCAGGGAGGGGAGUUCACACUCCACCCCCGGAUCUAGGGCAGAGUCUAAAACCCGAUUCUCUUCCACGGAAUCCUUCUUUCGGCCCCCGUCGCCCACAGGAUAAAGUACGGGCUCGUCGCGCUCGCGUUGGAGGUCCUCCGUGUUGUGACUAACCUGCAUUGCGAUUGCCUUUAACCAGUCCUACUCUUAUCCAGAAAGCGUCUUUCCCGCCCCAUCUCCUCUUUCCGUCAAUACCCCUUACAACUUCCCGUACCAUUUUUUCUCUCAUUCAAUGGCUGCUUGGUUUCUUGGUACAUUUUAUGGAUCCCACUCCCUGCCUGCCUGUUCCAGACCACAACAGUUGAAAUGCGAGAGAUGGAAGCGGCACCCACCGGGCCCAAAGGCUGGCUUGUUCACAUCUCUUCUACGACUGGCAGCAACGGCAGUCAUCCCGCGGGCACCCGCUGAAAGGAGACUAGCUCCUUUCAUCUCCAGAAGGUCAAACAUCUCAUAAAGCGCUUUUGCAUGUUUGGAGAAAACAGAAGUAACCGAACCUGUCACAAUGCAAGCCUCAAUACCGCAGGAAGGAAACCACACACCGUGAGCCGUGUGGUGUACAGGUGUGCAGGGCAUCAGCAGGCAUUUAUGAAAGUGGACACCCAUUUUCCCCGGGUCUGAUCCCCAAGAUGCCUGGUGUAGUCCUCACUUCUCUCCAGGAUAUCUGGGCAGCCAAGAGAGGAAACUGUUGUUGCCUCAUUACCUCUUACGUCUCAGGCCCUGUCCACCUCGUACAAACUUUCAUUUAAUCCUCGUAACCGCCACCUGAGCCAGCUGUGAGGCCCAGGCCCUGCGCUGGCCUCUGGAGUCGGCCUGACUGAAUUUGGGCCCACUUGGGGUGACACAUCUGGAAAGGGAAACCCCAGCAGCGAAGGGCAGUCAGCAGCGUCCACCAAGAAGGGGACAGGCACCCCUUGGAACAGUGCCUGGACCCCUCUGCGGGCGGAGUGGCACCCCUGCCGGAAACCUGCUGCAGUGCCCCAGCAGGCGACAAGCAGGAAGAGCGCUGCAAGAGGAACCCUCCUGACCUGAUCUGGGCUGCCUUCAAGGCCUUGGUGGGCACCCAGCACUGGCCACUUCUCCCACUGCAGCUGCCCUGGCUCUUCUGAGUGCCAGUGCUUGGGCAUCUGGACUGGUGUGGACGUGGGUGCCUCCGGCAAAGUCUCUCAUUCAGGUUCAGGCUCAGUGUGUGCACCCUACGCAGACUUCACAUGGAACUGAUCAGCUGUGCUGGGCUG
Molecule: long non-coding RNA, 1795 nt
Filed under: Equus asinus (donkey)
Lineage: Eukaryota; Metazoa; Chordata; Mammalia; Perissodactyla; Equidae
Description: lncRNA (ENSEASG00005030430.1)
Source: RNAcentral